UCCCUGGUGGCUUAGAUGGUAAAGUGUCUGCCUACAGUGCUGGAGACCUGGGUUCGAUCCCUGGGUUGGGAA
Molecule: transfer RNA, 72 nt
Filed under: Bos taurus (domestic cattle)
Lineage: Eukaryota; Metazoa; Chordata; Mammalia; Artiodactyla; Bovidae
Also listed under: 1 other name
Rfam family: tRNA
About the family: Transfer RNA (tRNA) molecules are approximately 80 nucleotides in length.
Source: Rfam by way of RNAcentral